This 827-nucleotide ribosomal RNA is filed under the name Antrodia pini-cubensis. Its description in RNAcentral is "eukaryotic LSU rRNA". It matches the Rfam family "Eukaryotic large subunit ribosomal RNA", at positions 49 to 862 of the family's 3401-position model. The record is from RNAcentral. Lineage: Eukaryota; Fungi; Basidiomycota; Agaricomycetes; Polyporales; Fomitopsidaceae.
AGCGGAGGAAAAGAAACUAACAAGGAUUCCCCUAGUAACUGCGAGUGAAGCGGGAAGAGCUCAAAUUUAAAAUCUGGCAGUCUUUGGCUGUCCGAGUUGUAGUCUGGAGAAGUGCUUUCCGCGCUGGACCGUGUAUAAGUCUCUUGGAACAGAGCGUCAUAGAGGGUGAGAAUCCCGUCUUUGACACGGACUACCAGUGCUUUGUGAUGCGCUCUCAAAGAGUCGAGUUGUUUGGGAAUGCAGCUCAAAAUGGGUGGUGAAUUCCAUCUAAAGCUAAAUAUUGGCGAGAGACCGAUAGCGAACAAGUACCGUGAGGGAAAGAUGAAAAGCACUUUGGAAAGAGAGUUAAACAGUACGUGAAAUUGCUGAAAGGGAAACGCUUGAAGUCAGUCGCGUUGGCCAGAACUCAGCCUUGCUUUCGCUUGGUGCAUUUUCUGGUCGACGGGUCAGCAUCAGUUUUGAUCGUCGGAAAAAGGCCAGAGGAAUGUGGCACCUUCGGGUGUGUUAUAGCCUCUGGUCGCAUACGAUGAUCGGGACUGAGGAACUCAGCACGCCUUUAUGGCCGGGGUUCGCCCACGUUCGUGCUUAGGAUGCUGGCAUAAUGGCUUUAAACGACCCGUCUUGAAACACGGACCAAGGAGUCUAACACACCUGCGAGUGUUUGGGUGGAAAACCCGAGCGCGUAAUGAAAGUGAAAGUUGAGAUCCCUGUCGUGGGGAGCAUCGACGCCCGGACCUGACGUUCUCUGACGGCUCCGCGGUAGAGCAUGUGUGCUGGGACCCGAAAGAUGGUGAACUAUGCCUGAAUAGGGUGAAGCCAGAGGAAAC